GCCGGCGUAGCUCAGUGGCUGAGCAUCAGCCUAUGAACCAGGAGGUCAGGGUUUGAUUCCCGGUGAGGGCA
RNAcentral lists this transfer RNA (71 nucleotides) under Myotis brandtii (Brandt's bat). It matches the Rfam family "tRNA". From Rfam's summary of the family: Transfer RNA (tRNA) molecules are approximately 80 nucleotides in length. Their secondary structure includes four short double-helical elements and three loops (D, anti-codon, and T loops). Further hydrogen bonds mediate the characteristic L-shaped molecular structure. tRNAs have two regions of fundamental functional importance: the anti-codon, which is responsible for specific mRNA codon recognition, and the 3' end, to which the tRNAs corresponding amino acid is attached (by aminoacyl-tRNA synthetases). tRNAs cope with the degeneracy of the genetic code in two manners: having more than one tRNA (with a specific anti-codon) for a particular amino acid; and 'wobble' base-pairing, i.e. permitting non-standard base-pairing at the 3rd anti-codon position. The record is from Rfam by way of RNAcentral. Lineage: Eukaryota; Metazoa; Chordata; Mammalia; Chiroptera; Vespertilionidae.